GGACUGUAGGCUGCAACUCGCCUACACGAAGCUGGAAUCGCUAGUAAUCGCGGAUCAGCACGCCGCGGUGAAUACGUUCCCGGGCCUUGUACACACCGCCCGUCACACCAUGAGAGUCUGUAACACCCAAAGCCGGUGGGAUAACCUUUAUAGGAGUCAGCCGUCUAAGGUAGGACAGAUGAUUAGGGUGAAGUCGUAACAAGGUACC
RNAcentral lists this ribosomal RNA (208 nucleotides) under uncultured bacterium. Its description in RNAcentral is "partial 16S ribosomal RNA". It matches the Rfam family "Bacterial small subunit ribosomal RNA", at positions 1295 to 1500 of the family's 1533-position model. The record is from RNAcentral.